This is a long non-coding RNA of Monodelphis domestica (gray short-tailed opossum), 1671 nucleotides long. NCBI's taxonomy places the organism in Eukaryota, Metazoa, Chordata, Mammalia, Didelphimorphia, Didelphidae. The record is from Ensembl.
UGGACGCCAGGCAGCGGCCGGGGAAGGAGCGAGGGGAGGGGAGGGGAGGAGCAGCAGGCUCGGGGACAGCGUCCCAUCCCAGAAGCGAGGGGGGCGGCACCGGGACAAAGUCCCGAGGCUGGAGCGCGGGAAGGAAUCAGGGCGGCGUCCGAAGCUAGCGGCGGGAGGCCCGAGGGGGCGCAGAAGCAGGAGGCGGGGUGCUGAAGCCGGAGAGGGGGGCGGAGGCUCCGGGUGGGACCGGGCUGGAGGGGGGGCACUAAGCAGGAGAGGGGCGCGGGGCGGCGGGGAGGGCGGGCACCCACCGUCGGAAGAGGCUCUCCAUGUCCUUGAUCUGGCGGCGGCUGAACUCGCGAAACUCGGUGUAGGGCUUGAAGACCUUGAUGGGCCGGGGCCGCGCCGUUCCCUCGUGGAUGCCCUGACGCCGGUUCAGCUGCUCCUUGAGCUCGGAGCCCGCGUUGGCCGUGAGCUCCUUGGCGGGCGGCUCGUCUCCCGGGCUCGGGGAACCGCAGGGCCAGGCCGGCGCGGGCACCCCGUCGAAGCCGUUUUGCUGCGGGAUCGGGACGUCCUCGGCCUCCUGCUCCAGCCUCAGCCUCCGCUGCAGCUUCAGGGCGAGCUCGUAGCUGGCCAUGGCCCGAGGACACACAGUCCCCACGGACGGGGCCGGCUCCCUCGCCAGCCCGCUCGUCCACCCGCCCGAUCGCUGCUUCCCGGGAGCGGCUUGGAACUUCUCUGGGCGGCUGGGCUCCCGAGCCGGGACCCGCCAGCUGGACUUCACCUGGAACCGAGGCAGGCGGUCUAGGACGUUCCCCAUUUUACAGAUGAGAAAACUGAGGCCCUGAGCCGUUCACUGAUUUGCCUCGGGCAUUCUUGGGGCCUCCCCUCCUUUCUGCGUCCGGGAAGGGGAUCUUCACCCGCAGCCUAAGAGCGUCUGGGGCCUUUCACCAGCUGAGGCGAAGGACCUCCCAUUCUCCAGCAGCUUCCCAUUCCUCCCCCUCACAUUCUGCAUUCCAGCCAGCCCGGCCUCUCGGCUGCCGCUACCCUCGAAGCCCGGCUUCCUCCGACUCUCGGCCCAAGUCCCGGCUCCUACCAGAAGCCAUUCCCGUCCCGAGCUCCCCCCGCCCGGUAAUGGCAGGGCCGGCCUCCGAGGGAUUCCCUCCACAUCCAUCGUGGGGGCUCCUGUCCGCCUGGCAUCCCGUUUCUGCCUUUCCAUCCCCUGCACUUAGCACAAUGCCUGCCCACAGGAGGCGCAACAGCCACUAGUGGCUCCUCCUCACUCCCCCAGCGGCGUGUUACCCCCUCGAGGGCCAGAGCUCGUCCGGCCCCCUUGCAAGGGCGCAGUGCCUGGCAUACAGCUGGCACUUCAAUGGUUCUGGAAUCCAGUGGAAAAUCCGAGAAUUGGAAAAGGGACCCAAAGCGAUCAAAUGGGGGUAGCUUUAGACUGGGUUGGCCAGAAGACCUGAGUUCAAUUCAGCCUUAGAUAUUUAUGACUGUAUGACUCUGAGCAAGUCAUUGCCGCAUCUCAGAAUCUCAGUUUCUUCCUCGGUAAAAUGGGGUUACCAAAGAAGAGGCCCUACCGGAAUAGAUGUGAUGGCCUAAAGAGAUAAUAGCAGUAAGUUCUUGGCCACCCUUGAUAUGCUAAAUAAAUGCUAGCUUUCCUCUCUUUCCCUCCCA